AGGGCCUGCUGUUUCCUAGGGGACAUUUUCAUCUGCAAUAGCCAGGCUGAAAACCAACAGCUGACAACAUCUGUCCAAACAGCACGAUCGCCAGUGCUCUCCAAUUCUACUCACCCCCCUUAUUUUGAUAACCAAUUUUAAUAAUUUAUGUGUAUUUUUAUGACCGAAAACCAAUAAAAUUUCCCCAUCA
Molecule: long non-coding RNA, 190 nt
Organism: Xenopus laevis (African clawed frog)
Lineage: Eukaryota; Metazoa; Chordata; Amphibia; Anura; Pipidae
Exons: 2
Source: RefSeq, a predicted model, not a curated record